GCAUAUCAAUAAGCGGAGGAAAAGAAAAUAACAAUGAUUCCCCCUAGUAACUGCGAGUGAAGAGGGACAAAGCUCAAAUUUUAAAUCUGUCGGGUUCUACCUGACCGAGUUGUGAUUUGAAGAGGCGUUUUCUGUGUUUCUGAUCAGUCCAAGUCCUUUGGGAUAAGGCAUCACGGAGGGUGAGAAUCCCGUUCGGUUGAUCAGAUUCGCUUUACGAUACGCUUUCAAAGAGUCAAGUUGUUUGGGAUUGCAGCUUAAAAUGGGAGGUAAAUUUCUCCUAAGGCUAAAUAACGGCGAGAGACCGAUAGCGAACAAGUACCGUGAGGGAAAGAUGAAAAGAACUUUGAAAAGAGAGUUAAAUAGUACGUGAAAUUGUUGAAAGGGAAACGAUUGAAGCCAGUCGUACCUGCGGGUAAUCAGCCUUUUGGGCAUGAUUCUGUGGAGUGUGAGGAGUUAAACGCCUUCAUGCCUGCAUAUUCGUGUACUUUGGGUGUACUUGCCUGUGUGGUUAGUUAACAUCAAUUUUGGUUAUCAUAAAAUGGCUGGAGGAAUGUAGCUUCGAUUUCGAUUGAAGUGUUAUAGCCUUCGGCAGAUGUGAUGAUCGGAAUUGAGGAUUGCAACGGAUACCUUUCGGGGCUACCUGUCUGAUCUCUGAUCGUUGCUCUGGUGCCGAAAGCGUGCUUACGGUUAUCAGAGUCGAUGGUCAAUAGGUUAGAACGGGCUAAAUUCGUUAAGGAUGUUGACGUA
RNAcentral lists this ribosomal RNA (747 nucleotides) under uncultured fungus. RNAcentral describes it as "eukaryotic LSU rRNA". It matches the Rfam family "Eukaryotic large subunit ribosomal RNA", at positions 38 to 633 of the family's 3401-position model. Lineage: Eukaryota; Fungi. The record is from RNAcentral.